Molecule: ribosomal RNA, 500 nt
Filed under: uncultured bacterium
Lineage: Bacteria
Description: partial 16S ribosomal RNA
Rfam family: Bacterial small subunit ribosomal RNA
Source: RNAcentral
AUUGAACGCUGGCGGAAUGCUUUACACAUGCAAGUCGAACGGCAGCACGGACUUCGGUCUGGUGGCGAGUGGCGAACGGGUGAGUAAUAUAUCGGAACGUGCCCAGUCGUGGGGGAUAACGUAGCGAAAGCUACGCUAAUACCGCAUACGAUCUACGGAUGAAAGCGGGGGAUCGCAAGACCUCGCGCGAUUGGAGCGGCCGAUAUCAGAUUAGGUAGUUGGUGAGGUAAAGGCUCACCAAGCCGACGAUCUGUAGCUGGUCUGAGAGGACGACCAGCCACACUGGGACUGAGACACGGCCCAGACUCCUACGGGAGGCAGCAGUGGGGAAUUUUGGACAAUGGACGCAAGUCUGAUCCAGACAUUCCGCGUGCAAGACGAAGGCCUUCGGGUUGUAAACUGCUUUUGUACAGAACGAAAAGGUCUCUAUUAAUACUAGGGGCUCAUGACGGUACUGUAAGAAUAAGCACCGGCUAACUACGUGCCAGCCGCCGCCGUAA